AUGGCGUGCGUUUCAGUACCGGCGGCCACGGCGGAGAUGGAGCGCGCCUUCUCUCAUCUCCGGCCUGGCUUCCGCUUCCACCCCACGGAUCAGGAGCUCGUCGGCUUCUUCCUCCGGCGCAAGGUCCUCCUGGGACACGGCGGCUUCAUCCCCGAGGUGGACCUCUACAAGUUCGAGCCCCACCACCUACCAGCCAUUUCAUUCUCACCGAGCACAAGCGACCCCGGGGCCAAAGUUGAGUGGUACUUUUUCGCUCCGAGGGGACGAAAGUACCCAACCGGGUUUCGCAUGGUGCGGGCGACGGUGAAAGGGUUCUGGAAGUCGACCGGGAAGGACCGCCCCGUCAUGCACAACGGCAUCGUUGUUGGCAUGAAGAAGACGCUGGUGUUCCACAUGGGCCAAGCACCUGGCGGCACGCGGACCGACUGGGUCAUGCACGAGUACCGUCUUCACGGCCACCGCAACAACCACAUCGAGGACACAUACGCAUUGUGUCGGGUCUUCAACAAGAACAUGGCGUCCCCGUCGAUGAAUGCGUCCGGUGAUGCCGACACAGAUGAGGAUCUAAUGCAGUUCAUGCCCAGUGUCAUCGACAUAGGCAAGGAUCUAAUGGAGUAUGUGUCUGAUGGCACCGGCUUGCACAAGGAUCCUAAGCAUUUCGUGCUUGGCAAUGUCAGUACGGACAAGGAUAUGAUGGAGUACGGGUCCUGCAGCACCGACUCGAACAAGGAUCUGAACAAGUUCAUGCUUGACAGCGUCGACUCGGUCCAGGAUCUCAUGCAGUCUAUGCUCGAUGGAAUCGGGACCGACAAGGAUCCCAUACAGGUCCAGGUUGAGUCUGAUGGUGCCGACGCGGAGAAUGAUUUUAUGCAAUCUGUCUUCGGUGGCGUUGGCGCAGACAUGGAUCUCAUACAUGUCGAGUCCGAGUCCGAUGUUGCCAACGCGAACAAGGAUCUGAUGCAGUACACCCUUGGUGGCGGCGGCACAAACAAGAAUCACAUACAUGUCGAGUUCGUGUCCGAUGAAGCUGACACGGACAAGGAUGUGAUGCAGUUCGCGUUCGGUGGCAUGGGCACAUACCAGAAUCCCAUACAGAUCGAGUCUGAGGUCGAUGGUGUUGACAUUGAUGAGGGAGAGAAGCAGUUCCUCACCGAUGGCGACGACACGGGCAAUGGAGAGAUGCCAAUUCUUGCUGAUGGGGAUAACUCAUGGUACACCAAAUACCUUGAGGAAGAGGAUAACUCAUGGACGCAGUUCCCUUUCACCGAUGUCUUGUACACUGGCGAUGAUAUGGGAAUGAUUCCUUAA
Molecule: ribosomal RNA, 1308 nt
Filed under: Triticum aestivum (bread wheat)
Lineage: Eukaryota; Viridiplantae; Streptophyta; Magnoliopsida; Poales; Poaceae
Description: partial small subunit ribosomal RNA
Source: RNAcentral